UACGGGGGGAGCAAGCGUUGUUCGGAAUCACUGGGCGUAAAGGGAGUCUAGGCGGUUUGGUAAGUGGGAUGUGAAAUCCCCGGGCUCACCCCGGGACCUGCAUCCCAAACUGCUGAGCUUGAGUACAGGAGAGGGUGGGGGAAUUCCAGGUGUAGCGGUGAAAUGCGUAGAUAUCUGGAGGAACACCGGUGGCGAAGGCGGGUCUCUGGGCCACUACUGACGCUGAGGAGCGAAAGCGUGGGGAGCGAACAGG
This 253-nucleotide ribosomal RNA is filed under the name uncultured bacterium. RNAcentral describes it as "partial 16S ribosomal RNA". It matches the Rfam family "Bacterial small subunit ribosomal RNA", at positions 524 to 776 of the family's 1533-position model. The record is from RNAcentral.